AGGCAGUGGUUUUAAUGAACGAAUGAGAUAUCCCCAGCACCACCACUUCCCAUCCAGCAGAAUCCAAGCUGUAGAAGAUAAGAGCAGUCAUAACCUGAAUGCUGGCUUUCACCUCGUGAUUCGUGCCCGCGUUCCACAGCCCUUAGUUCUUUCUGUGCUUCGGAACCUUCUGUCCACAGUUCCUGGGUGGGAUGUGGGAUGCAAAGGCAACAGGGGAAGCGGAGUUCUCAAAGGGUUCCCCAUACCUGAGAAGGACAAGUUCCAACCUGCCCCACUCUCCCCCCACUGUGUAGCGAAGGACUGUGCUCAUCGCUUUCCUUUUUUUCCCCACUUGACAUCCACAAAGCAAUAAUGAUGUAACAUUUCCCAAAGAAAUCCCGUAGCGACAGCCAUCCUUCAGUGGCUCCAGGUAGCAAAACACAAGUCAAAGAGCUUUCUCCGUCUCCCAGUGUAAGUGAAAUCUCUCGUUCCAGAUCUGCAAAGCCGAAAUCUCCCCUCUGUUUCGGAGCACCGCGGGCGCGGCGGCUCACGUUUUGGGGCAGAACAGUUUCGUGAUGAGGUUCAGGACUUUCUGCUGCAGGUCCGCCUUGUCUCCGAUCCUGCGCAGCUCCAGCGCGCACUCAGCCACCGCGUCCCGCUCUGCAAAACACGCGCAGGGAGAUGGGCAUUUAAUUCUAACGAGGUCUUUUCCAGGUAGCGGUGUCGGGGAAAGAAAGAAGAAGGUAAAGAAGAAAAAGGAAAAGAAAAAGGACAAAGCGUGUUUUUUUUCCUGUAUCAGCCGCCCCCCCCAAAAUUGAGACCUGUCUCCUUUUCGCCUCUCCCUACCUGCAGGCGCGGCGGGCGGCGCAGGUUUGCGAAUCGUCCUGCCGGGCAUCAUCGCGGCAACAGCUCGGCACGGUUCGGCACGGUUCGGCUCAGCACUGCUCCGCUCAGCGCGGGUCGGCGGCGGCGAGCGACUGCGGGCAGGCGGGGCGAAGCGCGCCCUAAGAGCGGAGCGCGGAGGGGUUUUCCCUCUUUGUGACGUAAGAACAGCGCGGGAAUCCCUCCCCCCCCGUGGCGGGAGCGUGUCGGAGCGCGCCCGGGCCGGUGGCGGUGCGCCGAAAUAAAGUGGGCACCUGAAGAUUGAAGGAUUGUGCAGCUGGGAAGGGAGAAUCCCGAGAUGCUGUGCAUGGAGCCAUGCCAGUGUCAGACAUUGUGGUCAGAGCAGCACUGGGGAUCAAGAGCAGCGCGUGACCAACCUGCAGCAUGACUAAUGCCAGUGGGCAGAUGUGAUGAAAGGAAAACGAAUGCUGAAGAAACGAAAACAAGAGCAGGAGUGAAAGGAAAGCGAAGUUUUUUUCCUCUGAACUCUAAUGCUUGUGCUGAAUCAGCUUCAAGCAGCGCCUCUGUAUAAAAUUAAAUAAAUCAUCA
Molecule: long non-coding RNA, 1410 nt
Filed under: Gallus gallus (chicken)
Lineage: Eukaryota; Metazoa; Chordata; Aves; Galliformes; Phasianidae
Description: long non-coding RNA NONGGAT011668
Source: RNAcentral